RNAcentral lists this ribosomal RNA (253 nucleotides) under uncultured bacterium. RNAcentral describes it as "partial 16S ribosomal RNA". It matches the Rfam family "Bacterial small subunit ribosomal RNA", at positions 524 to 776 of the family's 1533-position model. The record is from RNAcentral.
UACAGAGGGGGCUAGCGUUGUUCGGAAUUACUGGGCGUAAAGCGCGCGUAGGCGGCUUUGCAAGUCGGGUGUGAAAUCCCCAGGCUUAACCUGGGAACUGCAUUCGAGACUGCAUUGCUAGAGUAUGGGAGAGGGAAGUGGAAUUUCCGGUGUAGCGGUGAAAUGCGUAGAUAUCGGAAGGAACAUCAGUGGCGAAAGCGACUUCCUGGACCAAUACUGACGCUCAUGUGCGAAAGCGUGGGGAGCAAACAGG